AUCAAGCUGACGAGUCCUAAAUAGGACGAAACGCGCAUCCUGGAU
Molecule: non-coding RNA, 45 nt
Filed under: Schistosoma mattheei
Lineage: Eukaryota; Metazoa; Platyhelminthes; Trematoda; Strigeidida; Schistosomatidae
Source: RNAcentral